GGGAUGCCUAAUAUGUGGCGAUUUGGGCCUCUAUUGCAUGUUCUAGCGGCCGCGCCGGUGAGGGAAAUCUGCGCAAUUUUCCCCUCUGGCGUAUAACAUGCGAGUGGAAAGGGAUCUUGUAUCGAGUGGGGCACGGGUGAGUAACGCGUGGGAACCUGCCUUUCUCUGCGUGACAACGGUUGGAAACGACCGCUAAUACCGCAUACACCCUACGGGGGAUGUUCAGCCGGAGAAAGAGGGGCCCGCGUUAGAUUACCUAGGUGGGGGAUGAAUGGGCUACCAAGGAACCUAUUGAUGACUGGUUGGAUAGGAAGAUCAACCAUCUGGGACUGACUGCGGCCCAGACCCCUAAGGGAAGCCGCAAUGGGGAAUAUUGAACCAUGGGGGCAACCCUGAUCCAGCAAAUUGGCCUGUGUGAUGAAGGCCCUCCGGUUGUAAAGCACUUUCACUGGGGAAGAUGAAGGGGUUAACCACAGAUGAAGCCCCAGCUUACUUCUUGCCAGCAGCGGCGGGAUUCGAAGGGGGCGAAUGUUGGUCGGAAUUACUGGGCGGAAAGGGUGCGUAGGCGUAUCUUUAAGUCAGGCGUGAACGCCCCGAGCUCAACCUGGGAACUGCGCUUAACACUUUAGAGCUACAAUACGGAAGACGGACAUGUAAUUCCCAGAGUUGAGGUGAAAUCCCGAGAUACUGGAAAAGAUCA
RNAcentral lists this ribosomal RNA (700 nucleotides) under uncultured bacterium. RNAcentral's name for it is "bacterial SSU rRNA". It matches the Rfam family "Bacterial small subunit ribosomal RNA", at positions 72 to 708 of the family's 1533-position model. The record is from RNAcentral.